CCCUUAGAUGUUCUGGGCUGCACGCGCGCUAAACUGAUGCAUCCAGCGAGUUGUAACCUUGCUUGGUAAAGUUUGGUAAUCUGAGGCUAAUGUGCAUCGUGAUGGGAAUAGAGUUUUGCAACUAUUAGUCUUGAACGAGGAAUUCCUCGUAAGCACGAGUCAUCAGCUUGCAUUGAUUACGUCCCUGCCCUUUGUACACACCGCCCGUCGCACCUACCGAUUGAAUGGUCCGGUGAAAUCCUCGGAUCGAGCCGUGGGGCAACUCCGGUUCGAGAAGUUGAUUAAACCUUACCAUUUAGAGGAAGGUGAAGUCGUAACA
This 319-nucleotide ribosomal RNA is filed under the name uncultured eukaryote. RNAcentral describes it as "partial 18S ribosomal RNA". It matches the Rfam family "Eukaryotic small subunit ribosomal RNA", at positions 1470 to 1796 of the family's 1831-position model. The record is from RNAcentral.